This 484-nucleotide ribosomal RNA is filed under the name uncultured bacterium. Its description in RNAcentral is "partial 16S ribosomal RNA". It matches the Rfam family "Bacterial small subunit ribosomal RNA", at positions 30 to 507 of the family's 1533-position model. The record is from RNAcentral.
AUUGAACGCUGGCGGCAGGCCUAACACGUGCAAGUCGAGCGGAUGAAGGGAGCUUGCUCCUGGAUUCAGCGGCGGACGGGUGAGUAAUGCCUAGGAAUCUGCCUGGUAGUGGGGGAUAACGUCCGGAAACGGGCGCUAAUACCGCGUACGUCCUGAGGGAGAAAGUGGGGGAUCUUCGGACCUCACGCUAUCAGAUGAGCCUAGGUCGGAUUAGCUAGUUGGUGGGGUAAAGGCCUACCAAGGCGACGAUCCGUAACUGGUCUGAGAGGAUGAUCAGUCACACUGGAACUGAGACACGGUCCAGACUCCUACGGGAGGCAGCAGUGGGGAAUAUUGGACAAAGGGCGAAAGCCUGAUCCAGCCAUGCCGCGUGUGUGAAGAAGGUCUUCGGAUUGUAAAGCACUUUAAGUUGGGAGGAAGGGCAGUAAGUUAAUACCUUGCUGUUUUGACGUUACCAACAGAAUAAGCACCGGCUAACUUCGUG